This 83-nucleotide non-coding RNA is filed under the name unclassified sequences. RNAcentral describes it as "L20-Deltaproteobacteria ribosomal protein leader". It matches the Rfam family "L20-Deltaproteobacteria ribosomal protein leader". The record is from RNAcentral.
CGCCGUGAACUGAGGGGUCCUGUCUCCCCCUUCAGAUCCGGUUGCGGGCCAUUCUGCCCGCCGACAUCAUAAGUGAGAAGGAG